Molecule: ribosomal RNA, 492 nt
Filed under: uncultured bacterium
Lineage: Bacteria
Description: partial 16S ribosomal RNA
Rfam family: Bacterial small subunit ribosomal RNA
Source: RNAcentral
AGUGAACGCUGGCGGUAGGCCUAACAUAUGCAAGUCGAACGGCAGCACAGUAAGAGCUUGCUCUUACGGGUGGCGAGUGGCGGACGGGUGAGGAAUACAUCGGAAUCUACUUUUUCGUGGGGGAUAACGUAGGGAAACUUACGCUAAUACCGCAUACGACCUACGGGUGAAAGCAGGGGAUCUUCGGACCUUGCGCGAUUGAAUGAGCCGAUGUCGGAUUAGCUAGUUGGCGGGGUAAAGGCCCACCAAGGCGACGAUCCGUAGCUGGUCUGAGAGGAUGAUCAGCCACACUGGAACUGAGACACGGUCCAGACUCCUACGAGAGGCAGCAGUGGGGAAUAUUGGACAAUGGGCGCAAGCCUGAUCCAGCCAUACCGCGUGGGUGAAGAAGGCCUUCGGGUUGUAAAGCCCUUUUGUUGGGAAAGAAAAGCAGCAGGUUAAUACCCCGCUGUUCUGACGGUACCCAAAGAAUAAGCACCGGCUAACUUCGUG